This 121-nucleotide ribosomal RNA is filed under the name Carlito syrichta (Philippine tarsier). The record is from RNAcentral. Lineage: Eukaryota; Metazoa; Chordata; Mammalia; Primates; Tarsiidae.
GUCUACAGCCACACCACCGUGCAUGUGCCUGAUCUCAUCUGAUCUCAGAAGCUAAGCAGGCUCUGACCUGUUUAGAGUACUUGGAUGGGAGACAGUGAGGGAUUCAUAACUGAAAUAGACA